CACCACUAGUGCACCCGAGUCAGAAGACACAAAAUCGCCUAAGCGGCAGGUGCUCGGGUGAGGGCUGUGUCCAUCUUGCUGCUGAUGGGGUGGUUAGAAAGCCAUCCCAGGGGAAGGCAUUCUUUCUAACAGCCUAAAUUGGAGGGAGAAGGAGAAGGGAGAAGCAGUGAGGCCCUGGAGAGACCAGCCCUUCCUCAAUGCAGCCUCUGUGGAACCAGGAGCCCCCAACAUAGAUGCUGGGUUCAGGUGAGUCGGGAGGAAGGGCUGUGGGAGGGCCUAGGCACAGCCUGCACUGAGCUUCACAACACAGUCAUAGGCAGUGUGGCUAGGGGCCUCUCUGCACACCCUGGGGUUGGACCCCUACAGGAGGAGCUGGCCCUGGACCCUCCCUGGGGUCCAUGGCCAGCUCCCACCAGACCUAGGGUGCCAGGACACCCCUAGACUAUUCUUCACUGCAUCCCUGAUCCUCAUCUCUGAAUCACCCUUUGAUGAAGCCCCACUUCCUGUCUCACCCCACUGUAACUGGACUAUGCCUUCUACCAUUGUGUUCUCUCAUCCCCUGGCUCUGAGAAAGUCACAGAGGCAGCAAUGGGGAGGGUAAGAGCUCUACUGUGGGCCCAGCCCUGAUUCACACGUAAGGCCCUAAUUGCCUGAUAACCCUACCAGGGACAGCAGGACAUCCCUGAGCCUCUCACCCACCCUGCAGACCAUCCUGAACUACUGCCCUGGGCUGAGCUUGGGGGUCCUGGGAGCCAUGGAGCCAGCCCUUCUCUCCAAGGCUCCCAGUCAGGGGCAGGGAGCUGCCAUGGAAUCUCACAAACUUUGAUUACUUAUUUAAAUACGAGUAACACGCGUUUAGUGCACAGAAA
Molecule: long non-coding RNA, 869 nt
Filed under: Homo sapiens (human)
Lineage: Eukaryota; Metazoa; Chordata; Mammalia; Primates; Hominidae
Description: HSALNT0035797
Source: RNAcentral